Molecule: ribosomal RNA, 1367 nt
Filed under: uncultured bacterium
Lineage: Bacteria
Description: bacterial SSU rRNA
Rfam family: Bacterial small subunit ribosomal RNA
Source: RNAcentral
GACGAACGCUGGCGGCGUGCCUAAUACAUGCAAGUAGAACGCUGAAGGAGGAGCUUGCUUCUCUGGAUGAGUUGCGAACGGGUGAGUAACGCGUAGGUAACCUGCCUGGUAGCGGGGGAUAACUAUUGGAAACGAUAGCUAAUACCGCAUAACAGUAGAUGUUGCAUGACAUUUGCUUAAAAGGUGCAAUUGCAUCACUACCAGAUGGACCUGCGUUGUAUUAGCUAGUUGGUGGGGUAACGGCUCACCAAGGCGACGAUACAUAGCCGACCUGAGAGGGUGAUCGGCCACACUGGGACUGAGACACGGCCCAGACUCCUACGGGAGGCAGCAGUAGGGAAUCUUCGGCAAUGGACGGAAGUCUGACCGAGCAACGCCGCGUGAGUGAAGAAGGUUUUCGGAUCGUAAAGCUCUGUUGUAAGAGAAGAAUGAGUGUGAGAGUGGAAAGUUCACACUGUGACGGUAUCUUACCAGAAAGGGACGGCUAACUACGUGCCAGCAGCCGCGGUAAUACGUAGGUCCCGAGCGUUGUCCGGAUUUAUUGGGCGUAAAGCGAGCGCAGGCGGUUAGAUAAGUCUGAAGUUAAAGGCUGUGGCUUAACCAUAGUACGCUUUGGAAACUGUUUAACUUGAGUGCAAGAGGGGAGAGUGGAAUUCCAUGUGUAGCGGUGAAAUGCGUAGAUAUAUGGAGGAACACCGGUGGCGAAAGCGGCUCUCUGGCUUGUAACUGACGCUGAGGCUCGAAAGCGUGGGGCGCAAACAGGAUUAGAUACCCUGGUAGUCCACGCUGUAAACGAUGAGUGCUAGGUGUUAGACCCUUUCCGGGGUUUAGUGCCGCAGCUAACGCAUUAAGCACUCCGCCUGGGGAGUACGACCGCAAGGUUGAAACUCAAAGGAAUUGACGGGGGCCCGCACAAGCGGUGGAGCAUGUGGUUUAACUCGAAGCAACGCGAAGAACCUUACCAGGUCUUGACAUCCCUCUGACCGCUCUAGAGAUAGAGUUUUCCUUCGGGACAGAGGUGACAGGUGGUGCAUGGUUGUCGUCAGCUCGUGUCGUGAGAUGGUGGGUUAAGUCCCGCAACGAGCGCAACCCCUAUUGUUAGUUGCCAUCAUUCAGUUGGGCACUCUAGCGAGACUGCCGGUAAUAAACCGGAGGAAGGUGGGGAUGACGUCAAAUCAUCAUGCCCCUUAUGACCUGGGCUACACACGUGCUACAAUGGCUGGUACAACGAGUCGCAAGCCGGUGACGGCAAGCUAAUCUCUUAAAGCCAGUCUCAGUUCGGAUUGUAGGCUGCAACUCGCCUACAUGAAGUCGGAAUCGCUAGUAAUCGCGGAUCAGCACGCCGCGGUGAAUACGUUCCCGGGCCU